This 556-nucleotide ribosomal RNA is filed under the name Candida tropicalis. Its description in RNAcentral is "eukaryotic LSU rRNA". The stretch from base 198 to 351 matches the Rfam family "5.8S ribosomal RNA". The record is from RNAcentral. Lineage: Eukaryota; Fungi; Ascomycota; Pichiomycetes; Serinales; Debaryomycetaceae.
UGGAAAAGUAAAAAAACGUAACAAGGUUUCCGUAGGUGAACCUGCGGAAGGAUCAUUACUGAUUUGCUUAAUUGCACCACAUGUGUUUUUUAUUGAACAAAUUUCUUUGGUGGCGGGAGCAAUCCUACCGCCAGAGGUUAUAACUAAACCAAACUUUUUAUUUACAGUCAAACUUGAUUUAUUAUUACAAUAGUCAAAACUUUCAACAACGGAUCUCUUGGUUCUCGCAUCGAUGAAGAACGCAGCGAAAUGCGAUACGUAAUAUGAAUUGCAGAUAUUCGUGAAUCAUCGAAUCUUUGAACGCACAUUGCGCCCUUUGGUAUUCCAAAGGGCAUGCCUGUUUGAGCGUCAUUUCUCCCUCAAACCCCCGGGUUUGGUGUUGAGCAAUACGCUAGGUUUGUUUGAAAGAAUUUAACGUGGAAACUUAUUUUAAGCGACUUAGGUUUAUCCAAAAACGCUUAUUUUGCUAGUGGCCACCACAAUUUAUUUCAUAACUUUGACCUCAAAUCAGGUAGGACUACCCGCUGAACUUAAGCAUAUCAAAAGUGGGGAGGAA